This 464-nucleotide ribosomal RNA is filed under the name uncultured bacterium. Its description in RNAcentral is "partial 16S ribosomal RNA". It matches the Rfam family "Bacterial small subunit ribosomal RNA", at positions 28 to 507 of the family's 1533-position model. The record is from RNAcentral.
GACGAACGCUGGCGGCGUGCUUAACACAUGCGAGUCGAACGAUGAACCGGUUUCGGCCGGGGAUUAGUGGCGAACGGGCGAGUAACACGUGGGCAAUCUGCCCUGCACUCUGGGAUAAGCCCGGGAAACUGGGUCUAAUACCGGAUACGACACUCCGAGGCAUCUUGGGGUGUGGAAAGUUCCGGCGGUGCAGGAUGAGCCCGCGGCCUAUCAGCUUGUUGGUGGGGUAAUGGCCUACCAAGGCGACGACGGGUAGCCGGCCUGAGAGGGUGACCGGCCACACUGGGACUGAGACACGGCCCAGACUCCUACGGGAGGCAGCAGUGGGGAAUAUUGCACAAUGGGCGAAAGCCUGAUGCAGCGACGCCGCGUGAGGGAUGACGGCCUUCGGGUUGUAAACCUCUUUCAGCAGGGAAGAAGCGAAAGUGACGGUACCUGCAGAAGAAGCACCGGCUAACUACGUG